GUGCAUUCUGGGUGUCCACAUAUUUGUUGUUGCUUUAGGAAGAGGAGCUGGGAGGUUGGAGUCGCCACACAUGUUGAAAGAUGUGGCAAAAAACAAACAAACAAAACACCUCAUAGAGAGAAAUCCUGACUUUGUGCACAAGAAAAGGGAGUGAAGUGUGUGGGGUUUUUAAAGUGGUGGUGGGGGGGCAUUAGGAGAUACCCAGAAGCUCUCAAGAUUCCAAACAGUCUGCUUUUCUUUUCAGACAUUACACUCCAAGAAAAGAAACUCUAGUGUAUAACAGAGGGGCUCUGUCAAAAUUUAACAACAUAAAUAUUGGGCAAAUGAAGUUGUUUCUCUGGUGCUAUCUCAACCUGCCAAUGGAGAAAUAUCUCAAAAAGUCAAGAAUUGAAGCCAUUACUCAGAGACAGCAUCCUAUGGCAUGGUGAUCCAAAACAAGUACACCUCUACCUUUUCCCUUUCAGCCCCAAACCCCAAAACACUGGAGAAUAUUGGGGCAGGCAAGGCCCGUGAAUAGGUGAGCAGAGCUGGAAGAAGAGACUCCUGCCCCUGGUGGGCCUCAGGCUAUUUGUGGAAUGAUGUUUG
This 585-nucleotide long non-coding RNA is filed under the name Homo sapiens (human). RNAcentral describes it as "non-protein coding lnc-IGFBP2-8:4". Lineage: Eukaryota; Metazoa; Chordata; Mammalia; Primates; Hominidae. The record is from RNAcentral.